GUGGGGAAUAUUGCACAAUGGGCGAAAGCCUGAUGCAGCGACGCCGCGUGAGCGAAGAAGUAUUUCGGUAUGUAAAGCUCUAUCAGCAGGGAAGAUAAUGACGGUACCUGACUAAGAAGCUCCGGCUAAAUACGUGCCAGCAGCCGCGGUAAUACGUAUGGAGCAAGCGUUAUCCGGAUUUACUGGGUGUAAAGGGAGUGUAGGUGGCCAGGCAAGUCAGAAGUGAAAGCCCGGGGCUCAACCCCGGGACUGCUUUUUAAACUGCAGGGCUAUAGUGCAGGAGGGGAAAGUGGAAUUCCUAGUGUAGCGGUGAAAUGCGUAGAUAUUAGGAGGAACACCAGUGGCGAAGGCGGCUUGCUGGACUGUAACUGACACUGAGGCUCGAAAGCGUGGGGAGCAAACAGGAUUAGAUACCCUGGUAGUCC
Molecule: ribosomal RNA, 425 nt
Filed under: uncultured bacterium
Lineage: Bacteria
Description: partial 16S ribosomal RNA
Rfam family: Bacterial small subunit ribosomal RNA
Source: RNAcentral